UUCUUACCUAACGCAGGUCUAGAGUGCGUUUUACCUUGUUUGAGGGACCUAUCGUUAUCAUCUCUUGAUCCAGCUACACGACUGUUUCACACACGGCCACAGACCUCCCUGUGGCUAUUUGCGUAACUGAGCUGGGAAGUCUAUAACCUGUCAUCUUUGGGGCCAAGAAAUGAAGAGACUGAAAGAAUACAUUUGUGUGGACUUCCCUGGCCAUCCAGUGGUUAAGACCCUGCACUUCCAAAGCAAGGGGUGCAGGUUCGGUUCCUGGUCGAGGAGCCCAGGUCCAACAUUCCGUGAAGCACAGCCAAAAGAAAAAGAAACACAUUUGCUUGACAGCAGUCUCAUGAGAUCAUCCCUACCGAAGCAAUUAUUUUGGCUUCCCUUCUUGAGCCUUGAAAACCUGCAGAAAAUCUGCGGGGAUAGAAAUUACUAAGAGUUUCUUCUGUUUCCGGCAUUAUUGAAGCUAAGUUACUCCAGGCAACCUUCCCUCUGAAAUGACUGAACAUGCUGGAUAAGGUUUUUAAAAGUCAUUGACGAUGCAUCACUGAACCAGUGAUAAAGAAAGGCAUCCAUAGAGAGCAGACAUCCGGUGAGAGCAGGAACGUGGAGAUG
Bos taurus (domestic cattle) is the source of this 612-nucleotide long non-coding RNA. Lineage: Eukaryota; Metazoa; Chordata; Mammalia; Artiodactyla; Bovidae. The record is from Ensembl.